AGUGAACGCUGGCGGUAGGCCUAACACAUGCAAGUCGAACGGCAGCACAGUAAGAGCUUGCUCUUACGGGUGGCGAGUGGCGGACGGGUGAGGAAUACAUCGGAAUCUACUUUUUCGUGGGGGAUAACGUAGGGAAACUUACGCUAAUACCGCAUACGACCUACGGGUGAAAGCAGGGGAUCUUCGGACCUUGCGCGAUUGAAUGAGCCGAUGUCGGAUUAGCUAGUUGGCGGGGUAAAGGCCCACCAAGGCGACGAUCCGUAGCUGGUCUGAGAGGAUGAUCCGCCCCCCUGGAACUGGGACACGGUCCCGACUCCUACGGGGGGCCGCAGUGGGGAAUAUUGGACAAUGGGCGGAAACCUGAUCCAGCCCUACCGGCUGGGUUAAGAAAGCCUUCGGGUUUUUAAGCCCUUUUUUUGGGAAAAAAAAGCAGCCAGUUAAAACCCCGCUGUUCUGACGGUACCCAAAGAAUAAGCACCGGCUAACUUCGUG
Molecule: ribosomal RNA, 492 nt
Filed under: uncultured bacterium
Lineage: Bacteria
Description: partial 16S ribosomal RNA
Rfam family: Bacterial small subunit ribosomal RNA
Source: RNAcentral